This 215-nucleotide ribosomal RNA is filed under the name uncultured bacterium. Its description in RNAcentral is "partial 16S ribosomal RNA". It matches the Rfam family "Bacterial small subunit ribosomal RNA", at positions 125 to 334 of the family's 1533-position model. The record is from RNAcentral.
CCGUGCCUGGUAGCGGGGGAUAACUAUUGGAAACGAUAGCUAAUACCGCAUGAAAUUGCUUAUCGCAUGAUAAUUAAUUGAAAGAUGCAAUUGCAUCACUACCAGAUGGACCUGCGUUGUAUUAGCUAGUUGGUGAGGUAACGGCUCACCAAGGCGACGAUACAUAGCCGACCUGAGAGGGUGAUCGGCCACACUGGGACUGAGACACGGCCCAG